GAUGAACGCUGGCGGCGUGCCUAAUACAUGCAAGUCGAGCGAACGGACGAGAAGCUUGCUUCUCUGAUGUUAGCGGCGGACGGGUAAGUAACACGUGUAUAACCUACCUAUAAGACUGGGAUAACUUCGGGAAACCGGAGCUAAUACCGGAUAAUAUUUUGAACCGCAUGGUUCAAAAGUGAAAGACGGUCUUGCUGUCACUUAUAGAUGGAUCCGCGCUGCAUUAGCUAGUUGGUAAGGUAACGGCUUACCAAGGCAACGAUGCAUAGCCGACCUGAGAGGGUGAUCGGCCACACGGGAACUGAGACACGGUCCAGACUCCUAAGGGAGGCAGCAGUAGGGAAUCUUACGCAAUGGGCGAAAGCAUGACGGAGCAACGCCGCGUGAGUGAUGAAGGUCUUCGGAUCGUAAAACUCUGUUAUUAGGGAAGAACAUAUGUGUAAGUAACUGUGCACAUCUUGACGGUACCUAAUCAGAAAGCCACGGCUAACUACGUG
Molecule: ribosomal RNA, 497 nt
Filed under: uncultured bacterium
Lineage: Bacteria
Description: partial 16S ribosomal RNA
Rfam family: Bacterial small subunit ribosomal RNA
Source: RNAcentral